This 457-nucleotide ribosomal RNA is filed under the name uncultured Gemmatimonas sp. RNAcentral's name for it is "bacterial SSU rRNA". It matches the Rfam family "Bacterial small subunit ribosomal RNA", at positions 338 to 795 of the family's 1533-position model. The record is from RNAcentral. Lineage: Bacteria; Pseudomonadati; Gemmatimonadota; Gemmatimonadia; Gemmatimonadales; Gemmatimonadaceae.
CCUACGGGCGGCUGCAGUGGGGAAUAUUGCGCAAUGGGCGAAAGGCUGACGCAGCGACGCCGCGUGGGGGAUGAAGCAUUUCGGUGUGUAAACCCCUGUUGCUCGGGACGAACAACUGGAUUUUUCCAGUCUGACGGUACCGGGUGAGGAAGCACCGGCUAACUCCGUGCCAGCAGCCGCGGUAAUACGGAGGGUGCGAGCGUUGUCCGGAAUCACUGGGCGUAAAGGGCGCGUAGGUGGUCUGCUAAGCGUGCGGUGAAAGCCCGGGGCUCAACCCCGGGUCUGCCGUGCGAACUGGUGGACUAGAGCACUGUAGAGGCAGGUGGAAUUCCGGGUGUAGCGGUGGAAUGCGUAGAGAUCCGGAAGAACACCGGUGGCGAAGGCGGCCUGCUGGGCAGUUGCUGACACUGAGGCGCGACAGCGUGGGGAGCAAACAGGAUUAGAUACCCCUGUAGUC